RNAcentral lists this small RNA (132 nucleotides) under Escherichia coli. RNAcentral describes it as "RtT sRNA". It matches the Rfam family "RtT RNA". From Rfam's summary of the family: This family represents a bacterial cis-regulatory element known as RtT RNA. The exact function of RtT is unknown although it is thought that it may be involved in changing the cellular response in relation to amino acid starvation. The record is from RNAcentral. Lineage: Bacteria; Pseudomonadati; Pseudomonadota; Gammaproteobacteria; Enterobacterales; Enterobacteriaceae.
GUUUGCACUCAUCGGGGAAGGGUGAGAACCUUCGACUAAGGUUCGAUUCGAGCGAAAGCGAGAGAACGUUGUCACAGGCAACGGCCCGAAGGGUGAGGAGCGAAGCGACGAAUAAUCCUUCCCCCACCACCA